GUCCUCACUUCAGCAGCACAUAUACUAAAAUUGGAAUGAUGCAGAGACAAUUAGCAUGGCCCUGCACAAGGAUGACAUGCAAAUUCAUGAAGCUUUCUGUAUUUUU
Molecule: small nuclear RNA, 106 nt
Filed under: Myotis davidii
Lineage: Eukaryota; Metazoa; Chordata; Mammalia; Chiroptera; Vespertilionidae
Source: RNAcentral